RNAcentral lists this long non-coding RNA (246 nucleotides) under Vigna radiata. RNAcentral describes it as "long non-coding RNA (VRAD_LNC013977)". The record is from RNAcentral. Lineage: Eukaryota; Viridiplantae; Streptophyta; Magnoliopsida; Fabales; Fabaceae.
GCCUAGUGUCUUGGCAAUUAUGUUCACUGCAGUUUGUGUGAAAGAAGAAAAAAUCAUUAUCAAAUUAAAGAAAAGAAAAAGGAAAAAGAAAUCUAACAAUUAAAAAGAGAAAUUUUUGUUAAAAAUUUUCUAAAAAAAAUACUAAUUUUCUAAUUAUUGACAAAAGACUAAAAAUUACAUCUAAAAACCUAAUUUUAACUAAAAUUAAACAAAACUAAAGAAUUCAAGGAAAAACCUAAAUCUAGC